RNA transcript from Solanum dulcamara, 1052 nucleotides. It is a transcript of the gene named probable ADP-ribosylation factor GTPase-activating protein AGD6, with no coding region annotated. The record is from RefSeq and is a predicted model, not a curated record. The transcript is spliced from 3 exons. NCBI's taxonomy places the organism in Eukaryota, Viridiplantae, Streptophyta, Magnoliopsida, Solanales, Solanaceae.
AUGGUAGAGAAUGAGUCCCGGCCUGAUGGGCUUCCGCCCUCUCAAGGAGGGAAGUAUGUGGGUUUUGGAUCAGGUCCUGCCCCAAUGCCCAGGAAUAACAUGAAUCAGCAAAGGGAUGUUUUUUCUGUUGUUACUCAGGAAUUUGGUAGGUUAUCUAUGAUAGCUGCAAUGACAGCACAGUCGGCUGCAAGUGUGGUUCAAGUGGGGACAAAGGAAUUGACUACUAAGGUGAAAGAAGGUGGAUAUGAUACCAAGGUCAAUGAAACGGUCAAUGUUGUCACGGCAAAAACAAGUGAGAUUGGACAAAAGAGUUGGGGUAUCAUGAAAGGAGUCUUGGCCAUGGCUUCAUAGAAGGUAGAGGAAUAUACCAAGGAAAGUCCAACCUGGAAGAAUGAUAGCUGGCAACGAGGUGAAAGCGAAAAGAAUGGCUAUUAUCAGGACUUUAAUCAGGAUUCUAAAGGAUGGAAUUCUUCUGGAGGAGCCCAGUCCCGUGGAAGGAACACUAAUUUUGUCAGCUCUGGGUCGUGGGAUGAUUGGGACAACGAAGACAAGAGCAAAGUAAAUCCUACAAAGAGGGCAGCAGCAUCCAACAACAAGAACGAUGACUGGGCUGGAUGGGAUGAUGGUCAGGGUGAUGGAUUUGAUAAUCACUACCAGAGUGCAUCCAACAAUAAACAUGUUGCUGUUCAUGCUGGAAAUAUAGAUUCCAAAUGGACCGAUGGAGGUUUCCUCUGACGGCAGUACAUGUUGCAACUCCCCUUGUAAUUCUUUGCCUUCCCACAUUCAAUUUUCUCCAUGUCUUAUUGGAAAAAAGGAAUUGUGUGUCUGAAUAUAGUUGAUAUUUGUACCAUUGCCAGCAGGUUGGGUUAAUUGCUCCUCCUGUAAAAGAAGAAAGAGCCAAAAGCAAGCAGAAUUAGACUCUUGUUGAGGACCAUUAUUCGGGGCAAAAAAACGUUUAAGUUACAUUUGGAUUUGUAAAGACCAUUUUUGCAUUGUCUAUUUUUUUCCUGUUUCUGUCCUAUAUAUUGGAGAUUUUUGCUUAGUAUGUCUGA